AUGACUCUUUUCCAUCGGGAAAAGAGCAUGCAGCUAUACUCACUAUAUCAUAACAGCUCUUUCAACAUCUUGUGCGCCAUCCUUUGUGAAGGGUACCAUAUGCCUGUCUCCAGUCCAUCAUUUGAGUGCUCCCAAAUGUCCAGAAAAGUCUACAUGCAGAAAUUCUGUGAUGGUUCUGCCCUUGAAAUGCUAUUCUACAGCAAUAACUACUUCUGGACACUGGAGCUUUCUCACUUAGAGAUUCCAUAAACUGGGAAAGUUCAUGUACGCUCAGGAGAGCCUGAAAAUGAGAGUACUAAUGGCUGAGUGGAAUAUUCUUUGCCUCCUGACAUUGUUGAGGUAUGUAGUCUGAGCAGCUGGUUCCUCAGUUCUGCUAAUCCUGAUCUGACGUUUAUUUGAGGAGGGGGGAAAGGUUAUCUUUUGAGUUCCUGUUAUUUAUGUAAACUGGAGAGGGCCUUGGCCCAAGUCUCCUCUCACUUCCAUCCAUUUUAAACCCACCUCACAUGUCUGCCUCCUGACUUAGAUCAGUAUAAAUGCAAGCACGAGAAGCUAGACUCUCUGGGCGCAGACAGAAGUGACAAAGACUCUCUGGGUGCAGACAGAAGUGGCAAUUUUUACCUGAUCUGACCACAAAAAAACUCCCCAGAUUAUAGCUGCAUGGCUGCAAACAGCUUAAAAAAUGGCCAGCAGGGUGAAGAUCGGACCUCUCAUUUCAUGAGGUAUCAGAUAAAGAUGUUACAAAAUGUAGUGUCCUUUCUAACUUGUGUCUGCUGAACUCCCAGCCUGUCACUAUUUUCAGAAUGGGAAGGGGGAAAGGAAGAAGAGGGAGCUCUGUCUGGGGGGUUUUCAGCCCUCCCUGGAGGGUGGUCUGAGUGUACUGCAGCCUUCCCAAAGUGCAGAAGGCUCCAAUUCAUCCACCCCACCCUUCAGCACCAGCUGUGGAGCCCCAAGAAUGACCUCCCUCUACUGCCUUUCCCCCCUCCCAUUCUGAAAGCAGCAAGCACUGGCAGAAAGCCCUGGACAUUGCUAUGGCAACCUGGCUUCUAGGAACCAACAGUGAACUUGUGUUUCAUAGAUUCAUAGAUGUAGGGUCAGAAGAGACCUUGCAGAUCUUCUAGUCCAACCCCCUGCCUUAGGCAGGAGAGAAAAUUGGGCUCGCAUGACCCCAGCUAGGUACUUGUCAAGCCUCCUCUUAAAGACCCCCAGGGUAGGAGCCAGCACUGCUUCCCUUGAAAGUUGGUUCCAGAUC
This 1249-nucleotide long non-coding RNA is filed under the name Crocodylus porosus (Australian saltwater crocodile). RNAcentral describes it as "lncRNA (ENSCPRG00005009605.1)". Lineage: Eukaryota; Metazoa; Chordata; Crocodylia; Crocodylidae. The record is from RNAcentral.